Molecule: long non-coding RNA, 2209 nt
Organism: Pygocentrus nattereri (red-bellied piranha)
Lineage: Eukaryota; Metazoa; Chordata; Actinopteri; Characiformes; Serrasalmidae
Exons: 2
Source: RefSeq, a predicted model, not a curated record
UAGCACGCUUGUAAAUCUGAUGCACAAGCGACAUCCGUAAACAACAACGAUGGACGACGAAGCCGCUUCUCUUGGUCCACUGAGGGACUUUCGCUUUAAAAAACGUCCUGAUGGGACUUUCCAAAAGACUGCUGUUGUAUGCAAGUUGUGCAAAAAGGCGUUUGCUGCUCACCGAAGCUACUCAAGCCUAAAAUACCAUCUCAAUGCCAAACAUGUCGCGGCGAGCGGAGCCGCCCCCGCAGCUGCUUUCAGCGGUAAAUAACCGGCCCAGCCGGCCCGCACUGGACCAGGCGACCGGGUUCAGGGCCGAAAUAAGGAAGUCUGGGUCUGAAACAACUCCCCGGCUAAAUGGAUCGCAGCAGACUGCAGACCGCUGUCGGUGGUCGAGGACAGGGGGCUACAGUCUGUGUUAGACCGCGACACCGGACCUGCUCACGAACUCCCGUGUAGGAAAACCAUGGCGAGGAAGAUCAGGCAGCUUAAUGGAGACGAAAAGCAGCCAAAACACGACCUGCUGAAUGCAGGUGAUCGCAUCUUUCGCCUUCACUGUAGAGAAAGCCAACAACAGACAUCAUGCAGGAAACUGCGCAGACCUUUUUUCUGUAGUUCUGGAAAAUUGAGCUAAAUGUGACAACAAUUGGCGCCGAUUGUGCAGAAACAUGAUGGCAGCAGCGAGACGGCUCCCAUUUCAGCAGAUGCCGUGUGCUGCGCAUGUUAGUCAGAGAUCCGUCACUGUGCGCCUGGACAGUUGUGGAUUUAAUGAUGUUCCAGCAAAGUGCCGCAAGAUUGUGGGUCAUUUCAGACGCAGUCCAGCCACCACAGUGGAACUGUAUAAAGAGUAAAGGGCACCAGGAAAAUGACCCCUAAUCCAGGAUGUUUCCACAAGGUGUUCCACACUGUUUAUGAUCCGUCGUCUUGGAAACAGCCGUCUUUGAACCAUGCAGACAUGUGACUGAUCUUCUUGGUGGAGAGACUUGCGUCUCAUGUUCUGCAGUCUUGCCUGUCCUGUGAUUCCUGGACCACACUAUGAAGGUCUCUGAUGAGGAUUCUGCCUACAUUGUGAAAUUCAAGACCGCCUUCAUGAAGGACAAGAGACAAGUUAUUUUAUUUGUACAAAAAAAUUUUUGUAAUUAAUUGCGAUUAAUUAAUUUCAGACCCUGUAAUUAAUGCGAUUCACAUUUUUUAUCAAGUCCCAUCACUAGUAUGAACAUCUUUGUUUUUUGUAACUCAGACUCUUCAAUUAACUAAAUUGAAAGGUGCAAAGGUGCUGGACAGCACUGGGGGAAAAUCCAGGAAAUUCCAUGACUUUUACUGGACUUAUUUUCUGGAACUUUUCAAGGCCUGGAAAAAUGAAUUUCUAUGUAUAUUCCAUGAUUUUUCCAGGAGAGUAUGAACCCUGUAUGGCCCGGAAAGGAUGUGUAUCUGUCAAGAAGCCCUUCCUGAGAAGGGAAUAACACAAAAAUGUGCAUAAUAAAGAAUCUGAUUGUUUUGCUGGAAAUUAGGACAUGCAUGGCAGUUUAGGUUUUUAAUGAUUGUGCUGUGGGUUUGUGUAGCAUGUGGUGAGUACUCUACUCUUUGGGUGUUGAGCAACGUAUAUGCAUUGUGUUCUUGAUGGAGCCUGGCUAGAACACACUUUUCACACUAGAGAAGAUUUCACUUUUAACAAAACACACUUCUGCACAUUUUCUGCACUUUUGCUGUUUAUUUGCUGAGAGUAACAUAUUGGGUUAAAAAAAUAAAAGUCCAUAGCUUUUGCACAGGCCAUGUUUUAUAUUUUAUAUUCUCCCUACACCCCCCAAAUAUCUUAGACUCAGCAAAUAAAUUUCAGCACUACAAUCUGCAGAAAACGUCUCAUUUUAGUUUGUUCCCAGUAUAGAAUGUGUUAUUUACACAUUGAAAAUAAUAAUAAUAAUUAGACCAGAAGCAUUCAAGCUUUCUCAUACUACUGCAUACAUUCAUACAUAAUUAUCAUACUUAUGUUUAAUUAUUCAAACAAGUUGCUUGUGAACACAGACUCUGUUAGGACAAAUAGUAAGUGAAAUGAGACAGAAACACAAUAUGUUAUGUUGUACCUUAUUAACAUCAUAUGGUCAUUUCAAAUUUAAUGCAUGCAACAUGUUCCAAAAAGGUUGGCACAGGAGUGUGUCUACCACUAUGUUACAGAACUUUCCUUUUAACAACACUUAAUAAAACGUUUGGGGGCCGAAGA